This 1036-nucleotide ribosomal RNA is filed under the name Bacillus sp. 303B4_12AMannit. RNAcentral's name for it is "bacterial SSU rRNA". It matches the Rfam family "Bacterial small subunit ribosomal RNA", at positions 53 to 1072 of the family's 1533-position model. Lineage: Bacteria; Bacillati; Bacillota; Bacilli; Caryophanales; Bacillaceae. The record is from RNAcentral.
ACAUGCAGUCGAGCGGACAGAAGGGAGCUUGCUCCCGGAUGUUAGCGGCGGACGGGUGAGUAACACGUGGGUAACCUGCCUGUAAGACUGGGAUAACUCCGGGAAACCGGAGCUAAUACCGGAUAGUUCCUUGAACCGCAUGGUUCAAGGAUGAAAGACGGUUUCGGCUGUCACUUACAGAUGGACCCGCGGCGCAUUAGCUAGUUGGUGGGGUAAUGGCUCACCAAGGCGACGAUGCGUAGCCGACCUGAGAGGGUGAUCGGCCACACUGGGACUGAGACACGGCCCAGACUCCUACGGGAGGCAGCAGUAGGGAAUCUUCCGCAAUGGACGAAAGUCUGACGGAGCAACGCCGCGUGAGUGAUGAAGGUUUUCGGAUCGUAAAGCUCUGUUGUUAGGGAAGAACAAGUGCGAGAGUAACUGCUCGCACCUUGACGGUACCUAACCAGAAAGCCACGGCUAACUACGUGCCAGCAGCCGCGGUAAUACGUAGGUGGCAAGCGUUGUCCGGAAUUAUUGGGCGUAAAGGGCUCGCAGGCGGUUUCUUAAGUCUGAUGUGAAAGCCCCCGGCUCAACCGGGGAGGGUCAUUGGAAACUGGGAAACUUGAGUGCAGAAGAGGAGAGUGGAAUUCCACGUGUAGCGGUGAAAUGCGUAGAGAUGUGGAGGAACACCAGUGGCGAAGGCGACUCUCUGGUCUGUAACUGACGCUGAGGAGCGAAAGCGUGGGGAGCGAACAGGAUUAGAUACCCUGGUAGUCCACGCCGUAAACGAUGAGUGCUAAGUGUUAGGGGGUUUCCGCCCCUUAGUGCUGCAGCUAACGCAUUAAGCACUCCGCCUGGGGAGUACGGUCGCAAGACUGAAACUCAAAGGAAUUGACGGGGGCCCGCACAAGCGGUGGAGCAUGUGGUUUAAUUCGAAGCAACGCGAAGAACCUUACCAGGUCUUGACAUCCUCUGACAACCCUAGAGAUAGGGCUUUCCCUUCGGGGACAGAGUGACAGGUGGUGCAUGGUUGUCGUCAGCUCGUGUCGUGAGA